RNAcentral lists this ribosomal RNA (497 nucleotides) under uncultured bacterium. RNAcentral describes it as "partial 16S ribosomal RNA". It matches the Rfam family "Bacterial small subunit ribosomal RNA", at positions 28 to 507 of the family's 1533-position model. The record is from RNAcentral.
GAUGAACGCUGGCGGCGUGCCUAAUACAUGCAAGUCGAGCGAACGGACGAGAAGCUUGCUUCUCUGAUGUUAGCGGCAGACGGGUGAGUAACACGUGGAUAACCUACCUAUAAGACUGGGGUAACUUCGGGAAACCGUAGCUAAUACCGGAUAAUAUUUUGAACCGCAUGGUUCAAAAGUGAAAGACGGUCUUGCUGUCACUUAUAGAUGGAUCCGCGCUGCAUUAGCUAGUUGGUAAGGUAACGGCUUACCAAGGCAACGAUGCAUAGCCGACCUGAGAGGGUGAUCGGCCACACUGGAACUGAGACACGGUCCAGACUCCUACGGGAGGCAGCAGUAGGGAAUCUUCCGCAAUGGGCGAAAGCCUGACGGAGCAACGCCGCGUGAGUGAUGAAGGUCUUCGGAUCGUAAAACUCUGUUAUUAGGGAAGAACAUAUGUGUAAGUAACUGUGCACAUCUUGACGGUACCUAAUCAGAAAGCCACGGCUAACUACGUG